AACGAACGCUGGCGGCAUGCCUAACACAUGCAAGUCGAACGAGACCUUCGGGUCUAGUGGCGCACGGGUUCGUAACGCGUGGGAACCUGCCCUUAGGUUCGGAAUAACUCCCCGAAAGGGGUGCUAAUACCGGAUAAUGUCUUCGGACCAAAGAUUUAUCGCCUUUGGAUGGGCCCGCGUUGGAUUAGCUAGUUGGUAGGGUAAAAGCCUACCAAGGCGACGAUCCAUAGCUGGUCUGAGAGAAUGAUCAGCCACACUGGGACUGAGACACGGCCCAGACUCCUACGGGAGGCAGCAGUGGGGAAUAUUGGACAAUGGGCGAAAGCCUGAUCCAGCAAGGACGCGUGAGUGAUGAAGGCAUUAGGGUUGUAAAGCUCUUUUACCCGGGAUGAUAAUGACAGUACCGGGAGAAUAAGCUCCGGCUAACUCCGUG
RNAcentral lists this ribosomal RNA (433 nucleotides) under uncultured bacterium. Its description in RNAcentral is "partial 16S ribosomal RNA". It matches the Rfam family "Bacterial small subunit ribosomal RNA", at positions 29 to 507 of the family's 1533-position model. The record is from RNAcentral.